Molecule: long non-coding RNA, 1204 nt
Organism: Sitodiplosis mosellana (orange wheat blossom midge)
Lineage: Eukaryota; Metazoa; Arthropoda; Insecta; Diptera; Cecidomyiidae
Exons: 3
Source: RefSeq, a predicted model, not a curated record
GCUGCUGCUGCUGAAUGCGAAUGCAUUUGGACAAAGUGUUUGUGAGAAUGUCUAUCUGGAUUCAAGUCAAAGCAAACGACUACCAAUCGAAAAUUCUUUUUUUUUCUCUCUCAAUUUUUUCCUCUAUAUCGUUGCGCCAUUCAUUCGUAAAUAAUUGUACGUAAUGCUAUUCGUUAUUCGAAUGUUGUCUUUUUUCCUCUAUCGUCUCAUUGUUUCUUCGUUGCAACUUUGAGCGCUCGAGCAAAAUGUGUGAAAUUCGAAUAAUGCAGAGUCUCAUGGCACUUGAGAUCCUGUUUCAUUUUCGCUUGCAUACACACACAGACACAGACCCAGACACAAACGCUCUUUGUUAUCACAGUCAUCAAAGUCUUUUGAGACAAACUAUCCACAUAAUAAAAGUGAAACGUGACGAAAAGUGUAUGGCUGUAUGUGUAUUUUGAGUUUCGAUAUUGCAACACAAAGUGCCAUUUUAUUGACGCACACUUUCGACAACUAAUUCAAUAAAUUCAAUAAAUCUUAUCAGCAGCACAAACCAAAUCGAAAUGCCCGAACGUUGGCGUACAGUUGUGUGUGUGUGCCUGUGCACACAAUAUGCAACAUGGCAAAUUUGCAUUUUAUGAAUUUUUCACGCUUUAUUGCAAAUUUUAUUUGAAUAUUUUAUUAAUUCCUUUUGAUAUUCAAUUCGUCUUCUCAAAGAGACCGAAACAGCUUUUGUGGCCAAGAUUAUUUCUGUUUUAUUGGAAACGAUUUCAAAUUUUUAUUAUCGUGUUGCUUUGGUCUUGUGUUGUGUCGAAUCGCAGGUAUUUAAAAUGAAAUCAAAAUCGAAUUCCAAUGUUUUGUCUUCGGUUGUGUUUAUCCCGCAGGCAGCCAGUCACUUUGAAGGAUACGGAAUUUAUUUUGUAAGAAUGCAAGUCACCACAGAGGCAAAUCGCCAUUGAAUCUUUGUUUUCGAAACUGGCACCAGACCUAUUUGUGUUAUGUUUCAAAGGAGCGAAACUGUUGACCAUUCAGAUCUUUAUCACUCUGGAGGAAAUUCAAUUAAUCUUUUCACCAUUGAAACUACUGAACGCAUCAAUCGUCUCUCUAAUAUCAGAUGUCUGAAGAUUCAUAUUGCUGUGGCAUAUUGCACGGAUGGAAUGACCAACAUUUGGCAAGUAAAAGACGAUUCCAGUGAAACAAAACAAAAGACGCAUUCAAUUUGCUU